UUGAACAGGGGAGCUUGUAUUGCAGGCUGAGAGGAAGUAAUCAACUUCGACCCUUACACCUGAUUUGGAUAAUGCCAACGUAGGAAGUGAUC
RNAcentral lists this non-coding RNA (92 nucleotides) under uncultured Clostridium sp. Its description in RNAcentral is "TPP riboswitch (THI element)". It matches the Rfam family "TPP riboswitch aptamer (THI element)", at positions 9 to 90 of the family's 105-position model. From Rfam's summary of the family: Vitamin B(1) in its active form thiamin pyrophosphate (TPP) is an essential coenzyme that is synthesised by coupling of pyrimidine and thiazole moieties in bacteria. The previously detected thiamin-regulatory element, thi box was extended, resulting in a new, highly conserved RNA secondary structure, the THI element, which is widely distributed in eubacteria and also occurs in some archaea. The record is from RNAcentral. Lineage: Bacteria; Bacillati; Bacillota; Clostridia; Eubacteriales; Clostridiaceae.